GGAGAAGUACUCAAGUGGCUGAAGAGGACGGUUUGCUAAACCGUUAGAGUGGGCAACUGCUGCGAGGGUUCGAAUCCCUCCUUCUCCGCCA
This 91-nucleotide transfer RNA is filed under the name Peptococcaceae bacterium CEB3. RNAcentral's name for it is "tRNA-Ser". It matches the Rfam family "tRNA". From Rfam's summary of the family: Transfer RNA (tRNA) molecules are approximately 80 nucleotides in length. Their secondary structure includes four short double-helical elements and three loops (D, anti-codon, and T loops). Further hydrogen bonds mediate the characteristic L-shaped molecular structure. tRNAs have two regions of fundamental functional importance: the anti-codon, which is responsible for specific mRNA codon recognition, and the 3' end, to which the tRNAs corresponding amino acid is attached (by aminoacyl-tRNA synthetases). tRNAs cope with the degeneracy of the genetic code in two manners: having more than one tRNA (with a specific anti-codon) for a particular amino acid; and 'wobble' base-pairing, i.e. permitting non-standard base-pairing at the 3rd anti-codon position. The record is from RNAcentral. RNAcentral also lists the same sequence under 1 other name. Lineage: Bacteria; Bacillati; Bacillota; Clostridia; Eubacteriales; Peptococcaceae.